Chiroxiphia lanceolata (lance-tailed manakin) is the source of this 217-nucleotide long non-coding RNA. RefSeq lists it as uncharacterized. The record is from RefSeq and is a predicted model, not a curated record. The transcript has 3 exons. Lineage: Eukaryota; Metazoa; Chordata; Aves; Passeriformes; Pipridae.
GGGUGUCAAGACUUUAAUGGGAGGUGUUGUAUGAAUCUGUCAGAUCAUUCUAAGUCUAUUUAUAGAAGCAUUGCUGAGUUGCAGGCGGCAACUCAGAAGAUCAAAGAAAGCACUGGGUUUUUUGGCUUGGAGAACUGGUUUGGCAGAUGAAGAAUACCUAGCUGGUUAGCUUCACUUUUCAAAACGGGAUGCUUGGAGAUGAAGAGCACAGUCUGAA